CGUCAAUGUAGUUAAUGCGGAUGUGUGCAUUGUGUCUCAUUUUAUUGCCGGCUGUUUAUAACUUCUAUCCAGAUUUAUAAUCAACAUCUGCAGUUCAAGAUGGACAGUGAGAAAGAAUACGUUUUAUCUGACAAUGAGCUGUUUGAUGACCUUAUUGACAAAGAUAAGACAACUGAAAUCGUUGGCUACGUCAUCGAAACUCAAGCUCCA
Phymastichus coffea is the source of this 210-nucleotide long non-coding RNA. RefSeq lists it as uncharacterized. NCBI's taxonomy places the organism in Eukaryota, Metazoa, Arthropoda, Insecta, Hymenoptera, Eulophidae. The transcript has 3 exons. The record is from RefSeq and is a predicted model, not a curated record.